Molecule: ribosomal RNA, 269 nt
Filed under: uncultured bacterium
Lineage: Bacteria
Description: partial 16S ribosomal RNA
Rfam family: Bacterial small subunit ribosomal RNA
Source: RNAcentral
UACGUAGGGUGCAAGCGUUAAUCGGAAUUACUGGGCGUAAAGCGUGCGCAGGCGGCGCGUUAAGACAGGUGUGAAAGCCCCGAGCUUAACUUGGGAAUUGCGCUUGUGACUGGCGUGCUGGAGUGUGGCAGAGGGAGGUGGAAUUCCAGGUGUAGCGGUGAAAUGCGUAGAUAUCUGGAGGAACACCGGUGGCGAAGGCGGCCCGCUGGGCAGGAAGGCUCGCAAGAGCCGGCUGACGCUGAGGCGCGACAGCGUGGGGAGCAAACGGG